AUGGCAAAAGCAGGUCUUGAUGCUGUAAGAUCCAAAAAAAUCGAGAUUAUUCCUCAGCAAUAUGAACAAGACUGGUACAGAUGGCUUGAAAAUAUACGUGAUUGGUGUGUCUCAAGGCAACUCUGGUGGGGCCAUCAUGUACCUGCGUGGUAUCUGACACGUGAAGAUGAUCAAGUGACCGAUCUGGGUCCCAACAAUGAACGUUGGAUAGUUGCAAGAAAUGAAAGUGAUGCGAACCUUGAGGCAAAGCAAAAGUAUCCGGGGAAGAAAUUCCAGUUAAAUCAAGAUCCUGAUGUGUUGGAUACGUGGUUUUCAUCUGGUCUGUAUGUCAACCAGAUACUUGGUUGGCCAGAUGAUACCGCUGAGCAUAGGGCUUUCUACCCUGGCUCAGUAAUCGAAACUGGACUUGAUAUUCUCUUUUUCUGGGUAGCCCGUAUGGUUAUGAUGGGAAUGCAACUAGGUGGCGAUGUGCCGUUUGAAAAGACUUUCUGA
RNAcentral lists this ribosomal RNA (492 nucleotides) under Triticum aestivum (bread wheat). Its description in RNAcentral is "partial small subunit ribosomal RNA". Lineage: Eukaryota; Viridiplantae; Streptophyta; Magnoliopsida; Poales; Poaceae. The record is from RNAcentral.